UCCCUGGUAGCGCAGCUGGUAAAGAAUCUGCCUGCAAUGCGGAAGACCCUGGUUCGAUUCCUGGAUAGGGAA
This is a transfer RNA of Ovis aries (sheep), 72 nucleotides long. It matches the Rfam family "tRNA". Rfam says of the family: Transfer RNA (tRNA) molecules are approximately 80 nucleotides in length. Their secondary structure includes four short double-helical elements and three loops (D, anti-codon, and T loops). Further hydrogen bonds mediate the characteristic L-shaped molecular structure. tRNAs have two regions of fundamental functional importance: the anti-codon, which is responsible for specific mRNA codon recognition, and the 3' end, to which the tRNAs corresponding amino acid is attached (by aminoacyl-tRNA synthetases). tRNAs cope with the degeneracy of the genetic code in two manners: having more than one tRNA (with a specific anti-codon) for a particular amino acid; and 'wobble' base-pairing, i.e. permitting non-standard base-pairing at the 3rd anti-codon position. Lineage: Eukaryota; Metazoa; Chordata; Mammalia; Artiodactyla; Bovidae. The record is from Rfam.